AAUAUAGCAUAUGUAAACCGGAUUAAGCAAACAAAAUACAUAUAUUGAUAUUGAAAGGAAUAAAAAACCUGAAUAAGAAUUACUAAAAUCUCAAGGUAUCGGAACCCGAAUACAACAAAUUGUUUGGAUCGAUUAGUUCUUCAUGAGAAUCCUUGCCAAAGCUUUCAAGUAUUUCGUGAAUAGUCAAUUAUCCUCAUGUUAUGCAGCUACUAGGUAUAUGGAAAACAAGGAAUUUCGUUUACAACCCAACUGGAUCGAAAACAUAACUCAAGCCAAAAACUAAUGACCCAAAACUUAAAUAAAACUAAUACUGCAACUUCAACGAAUUUUCUGGCCCUGUUACA
Molecule: long non-coding RNA, 344 nt
Filed under: Lathyrus oleraceus (garden pea)
Lineage: Eukaryota; Viridiplantae; Streptophyta; Magnoliopsida; Fabales; Fabaceae
Description: Pisum sativum (pea) long non-coding RNA (PSAT_LNC034248)
Source: RNAcentral